RNAcentral lists this transfer RNA (98 nucleotides) under Microcystis wesenbergii FACHB-1339. Its description in RNAcentral is "tRNA-Leu". Lineage: Bacteria; Bacillati; Cyanobacteriota; Cyanophyceae; Chroococcales; Microcystaceae. RNAcentral also lists the same sequence under 1 other name. The record is from RNAcentral.
GCCUGUUUAUCUUUCAGAAUUGACAAAAACCCGUCACUGCAAACGUUUAAACUUGAUUCGUAAUCAAUUGGUCGUGGGUUCAAAUCCCAUCAUCGGCU